AGCUUUGCGCAGUGGCAGUAUCAUAGCCAAUGAGGUCAAACCGAGGCGUUAUUAUUGCUAGUUGU
RNAcentral lists this small nuclear RNA (65 nucleotides) under Xenopus tropicalis (tropical clawed frog). RNAcentral's name for it is "Xenopus (Silurana) tropicalis (western clawed frog) U4 spliceosomal RNA". It matches the Rfam family "U4 spliceosomal RNA", at positions 1 to 65 of the family's 138-position model. From Rfam's summary of the family: U4 small nuclear RNA (U4 snRNA) is a component of the major U2-dependent spliceosome. The structure of U4 snRNA from yeast and human has been reported. The record is from Rfam by way of RNAcentral. Lineage: Eukaryota; Metazoa; Chordata; Amphibia; Anura; Pipidae.